Long non-coding RNA from Papio anubis (olive baboon), 3598 nucleotides. NCBI's taxonomy places the organism in Eukaryota, Metazoa, Chordata, Mammalia, Primates, Cercopithecidae. The record is from Ensembl.
CAAAAACUGUAUAUGGCUUGCAGCUAUCAUAUGGUACAGAUUAUAGAACAUCAUCAAAGAAAGUCCUAUCAGACAGAUUUGGUACAGAGUGAAAAGAGAGAGGUUCAACAUAUAUCAGGACCCUGUUGUUAUUGAUAUCUGGGUGUUUAUUGAAAAAGAAAAGACCAAUGAAACAGGUAGAGAAGGAGUGUCCAUCCAUUGAGUGCCUUUGAAUGGGCUGAGCAUGAGAUGCUCUUCUUGCAUCAUCUCUUAUCCCCAAACUGCCCUGUAAUGUUGGUAAUAUUAUUUUUAUUGAAAGUUGUCAAGAUUAAUGUCUCAAGAUCCCAGACUAGUAAGUAGCAGAGCUGGAACUGUAAUCCAGAUGCAUGUGGAAUCCUAAAUUCAGUAACAUUUCAAUUGGUCCAGGUUGUCUGUCCUGAGAAAACUCAAAGAAAAUGGUGCCAAGGAAGAAGAGAAUUUCAUAAAUGAAGAAUGGCAGAUGGCACUAAGAGUUCAAGUAAGGCUGACACUUCGGCGAGUAUUCACUCCCAUCGGAUGAGGCCUAGCUGUGACACUGGAAAGUAUGAAAACCCCUAUGGCAUUCUGCUGUCCAUUUGGUCAACUGGGAAACACACUUUGGAGAAUUUCAAGAAAAAGUUGUCAGCGAUAUCAAGAGCCAAAUCCAGAAAGGGGUCAUGGUAAUAUCACUUUGUGGAGCUACAUUUUUAAACUCAAUACUCCAGGCUCUCUUUAUUUACUUUUAGGUAAUUGGCUAGUAAUUACACGGUAAGUUGCCUGGAUGCGGGUGUGCACCAGGUAUACCACCUGGAGCUCAAUAAAUGGAUGGAAAAAAUGAAACAAGGAAACUGAGAGCAAAACAGCUACUGCCUCAUGGCAAUCAGGGGAUACUCAGACCCCUCAAGACAACUUUAAAGAUGAUUCUUCAGCUAGCAAAACAUAACUGGCUCCUGAAUAGAUACAUGCAUAAGAGCAACCUGUGUUGUCAGUCAUAACCAUAAAUCAUCUUAUUAUUCUGACACAUAUGUUAAAGUUUGAAAUUUGGAAAUCAACAAGUAAAUUAUUGCAGAAUUCUAUCUCUUGCUUUACAAUUCUGUCUUAAAGGCUGGAGUUAGAAAAUGCUCAUAAAUAGCCUACAUUGUAACUAAUACCUUAAAAGAAGGUGCAUUCUGGAAAAUUAUAAACUCUGCCAAAAGAAUUAGAAACUCAGAUAUUGAAGGCUGACAUUCACUGAAAUUUCCAUGUAAAAAUGUUAUCUCAGUAAAAAGCGAAGCUGUUUCAAACCAAUAUGUUGAGUUGUAAUAAUAGCGGCAGAGUGCUGUGCCUAAUUGCAUGCAAAGAUCCUCUGCCAGAAUAUAUACCUGAUUGCACACAGCAUUUUCCUAGGCGCUAUUUCCUUUUUCCUGAUAUCUUAUUACAAUCUUAAGGGAAAAGGGGGAGUUAAAAAAACUAACACUUAGUGAUUAGAUUAGCUAAUGUAUCCUAGUUCUUGAAAUUUGUUAAAAUAUGUUGUCUCCUUUAAUCUCUCUAGAGAUGUGUCAUGUGACUACUAUUAUUCCCCUUUUAUAUAUUAUAGAGUUGGAGCUUAGUGAGUUUAAAUAACUUGCAUAAGUCCACACAGUUCACCACCAAAGUCCAUGCCUCUGAACUUCUGCCACCUAGUAUACUAGUGUUUUCAAUGCGGAGACACUGACGUCAAGGUGGUAGACUAAAUGAACACUUGCUACCCUCAUGGAACUUACAUUCUUUUGGAGAAGACAGACAAUAAAUGAGUGAACAAAUAAAUAAAAUGGCUUAAACAGUGAUGUGUGCCCUGAAGAAAAUGAAACAGAGUAAUAUUUAAAGGAACACUGCAGUGGGGGAAAUAUUAAACAGUAAAAUCAAGAAGUGAUAGCAAAAAUGUUGACCUUCAAUCUGAGAACUAAAUAGGAGUGAGGCAUUCAAAGAACAGAGGGAAAAAAUUUUAGCUGAGGAACUAACCAGGCUACAGGCCAUGACAUGGAAAAUAAUUUCAUUUGUUUUAAAACACAAAGAUAAGUGCAAAAAUUCUAUUUUAAAAAACUCAGUAAGUUGAAUUCAGCAGGACAUUUAAAAUAAAUCAACAUUAAUUCUAGCAAAGAUGCUCCAACAUUAUCCAAUCUAUGAAGGCAAUUCAAUGAAUUAAAUGAAGAAAACCAGGUAAUUAUACCAAGAAAGCUGAAAAAAAAAAGAAUUCAAACAAAUAUAAAACCCAUUUAUAGGAGAGAGGAAAAUAAAAGCCUUUUAAGAACUAGAAAUAUAAGAAAAAUUCCUUGGUUUAAUAUAGGGUGACUAUAGCAAACAUCUUUAGAAACCAUCAUACUUAUGGAGGAAAUAUUAGACUCGGUUUUAUUUAAAACAGCAAUAUUAACUCUCAUGAUAUUAUUCAACAUCAUCCCAAUGGCCCUCACCAACAAAAUAGGGCAACAGAAAUUAGGUUUAAUUCAUGGAAAGAAAAAGGGAGAACUGGCAGAUGAUAUGAUCAUCUACCUUGAAAAUCUAAGACAACUAACUUAUAUUCUAUUACAGCUUUAAAAAGUUCAUCAAAUAGCCAGCAUCCACAAUCAAUAUACAAAAAAAAUAGCUUUUCCAUGUGCCAGUGAUAAUCAUUAGAAUAUAUAUUUUUAAUACACCUGUUGGCCAUUUGCAUGUCUUCUUUUGAAAGAUGUCUAUUCAGGUCCUUUGCCGAUUUUUAAAUUGGGUUAUUUGUUUUCUAUUGAGUUGAGUUCUUUAUAUAUUUUGGAUAUUAACCCCUUAUUGGAUUUAUGGUUUGCAAAUAUAGUAUAUUUACUCAUGCUGUAGGUUGUCUCUUCACUCUCUUGAUUGAGAAAAUGUGGCAUAUACACACACAGUAGAAUACUAUUCAGCCUUAAAAAAGAGGAAAAUCCUGUCAUUAGUGACAACAUGGGUGAAACUAGGGGACAUUAUGUUAAAUAAGCACAGGUACAGAAAGACAAAUACCACAUGAUCUCAUAUGUGGGGUGUAAAAAAGUAAAACUCAUAGAAAAUAGAGAGUCAAAUGGUGGUUUCCAAAGACUGGGGGCUGGGAGUUUGGGGUGAUGUUGGACAAAGGACAAAACAUUUCAGUUAGGCAGGAGGAAUAAGUUUAAGAGAUCUCUCAAAAAAAGAAAUCUGUUGUUCGUGAUGAUGACUACAAUUAAUAACAAUAUUAAUGACUACAAUUAAUAACAAUAUGUAUAAUUGAAAAUUACUAAGAGUAGAUUCUAAGUGUUCUCACCACACACACACACAAAUAAUAAGUAUGUAAAAUCAUGUAUAUAUUAGUUUGAUUUAGCCAUUCCACAAUGUAUACAUAUAACCAAACAUCAAGUUGUACACUAUAAAUAUAUACAAUUUUUACUUGUCAAUUUAAAAUUUGAAAGUAAAAUAAAUUUUUUAAAAAAUGCAUUAAAAAAAAAAAAGAAUUCCAAUUCACAAUGGCUACAGCAACCAAAAAGUAACCAAGUAUACAUUUAAUGAUAAAUAUACAGGACCUUUAUAGAGGAAACUAUAAAACUAUACUGAAGAAAGUUUAAAAAAAGUUUGAAUAGACGGAGAAAUAAUUACAAAUGUAGUGACUCAG